AUGAUUACCUUAGAUAAUGAUUACCUCGUCACACUACUCCUACUGCUCUCCUCGACAAAUGCAUUCCAGAUCACGACAUGCGACUGCAACAAGCCAAGCGGAGUCGGACUCCUCCAAUUUUCCGAUGGCUCCUGUGAACCUGCCACACGCAAUUCGAAUACGAAAGUCGACUAUCGAGUCAUGACCGACAAAAAGGCAGCUUUUUACUUCCCGGGAUACAUCUGUGGUAGAUGGAAAUCAAUUAAGCAUAUCACGAUCAAUUUCCUAGGAAAAGUUAUUACCGUUCCGGAACGCAUCGCCAUGGAAACGACGGUGGUAGAGUGUGAUAUAAUGAGACAGUCGAGGCGAUGCAACGAGAGCCCAAUAAUGAAAUCAGAAAACAAAUGGAUAUUUAACCAAGAACCGGAGGACUUCGGAUAUUGGCUAAGAACCCCCACUGUGGUUACAGUCAGCUGUAUGUUAGAAGAAGUCGUCCUUUCCCGAAUUGACGAAGGAGACAUGAUAAACACGCCACUAGGAAAAACCAACGUAUCCCAUGGAUCCCUAUCCCAUAACCAUCUAACAUUAUUUUGGAUAGACACCUACGGAAAACCAACUGAUAUCGCAAUCCGACAAUUAGAGAAAGGCGUGGGAAUCUGGUACGAAUCUUCAACGAACGGGACUUGAAUCCUCCAAGACGACUCCAAACAGUUGGACUUUCACUAUUUGGAGGACGCCGCCAUCCGUCACGAAAAUGAACUUAUCCGCGUCAUUCAGAGCAUGCAGUGCGACCAACGACGUGCUAAACACGCACAAGCCGUGUCAACUGCCCAAUACAAUGGAUGGCUGGCAGCCGCACAGCUGGGUCUUCGGCAAUGCAUCAAACUGAUCGCCACCGGAAACAUCGUCUCAGCCCUACAAUGCACCCCUACUACAGUAAAUUUCACGACGGAUACAACCACUUGUGGACCUCAACCGCGGUUCAACAAUAUCACCAUUGGCCGGUCCGCUUGGGAACUCACUGCUUUCACGCCAUGCUACUGGGCCGGAGGUAUCGUGAAUUUUAACGAAAAAACUCACGCCUAUCGCAAUAACACGUGGAAACCGGUCAAAGCAUCCGUCAUCAUCCCACAGCGCGAUUUGGCUGACGCUUUCCGAUAUAAAUACGUCAACUUCUUCGAACACCAACAUCAAACCAAUCCCGCUUAUACGGAAGUCCUCAUUAGCCCGAUGGAUAUAAUGGCCGAUAUCACAGCCUCCAUGAACGAACACUCCCUGACUGUCCCCAAUCAAAUUACAGGGACAUCGGCUAUCGUCGUAUCCGCAGCCGAAAAAGCAGGUCUCGGAACCUUUACCAAUUGGUUCGAGAAUUUUAAAGUCUACUCAUUCAUCAUCCUGCUCAUCGCUAUCUUCCUACUGAUCGCUCGUGCUUGUUACGCCCUCGGAUUUUGUGGUUUGAUAUGGAAAUGUUGUUUUAAGCCCCCACGUCCUCCUCCUACGGCGGUUUACCAGCCGAGAAGCAGCCGACCCACAGGUCCCUGA
Daphnia magna is the source of this 1521-nucleotide RNA transcript. RefSeq lists it as uncharacterized. The transcript is spliced from 2 exons. Lineage: Eukaryota; Metazoa; Arthropoda; Branchiopoda; Diplostraca; Daphniidae. The record is from RefSeq and is a predicted model, not a curated record.